CCUUUGACGUUAGCGGCGGACGGGUGAGUAACACGUGGGUAACCUACCUAUAAGACUGGGAUAACUUCGGGAAACCGUAGCUAAUACCGGAUAAUAUUUCGAACCGCAUGGUUCGAUAGUGAAAGAUGGUUUUGCUAUCACUUAUAGAUGGACCUGCGCCGUAUUAGCUAGUUGGUAAGGUAACGGCUUACCAAGGCGACGAUACGUAGCCGACCUGAGAGGGUGAUCGGCCACACUGGAACUGAGACACGGUCCAGACUCCUACGGGAGGCAGCAGGG
Molecule: ribosomal RNA, 279 nt
Filed under: uncultured Staphylococcus sp.
Lineage: Bacteria; Bacillati; Bacillota; Bacilli; Caryophanales; Staphylococcaceae
Description: partial 16S ribosomal RNA
Rfam family: Bacterial small subunit ribosomal RNA
Source: RNAcentral